This 409-nucleotide ribosomal RNA is filed under the name uncultured bacterium. RNAcentral describes it as "bacterial SSU rRNA". It matches the Rfam family "Bacterial small subunit ribosomal RNA", at positions 505 to 916 of the family's 1533-position model. The record is from RNAcentral.
GUGCCAGCCGCCGCGGUAAUACGGAGGGUGCAAGCGUUAUCCGGAUUCACUGGGUUUAAAGGGUGCGUAGGUGGGCUGAUAAGUCAGCGGUGAAAUCCCCGAGCUUAACUUGGGAACUGCCAUUGAUACUAUCGGUCUUGAAUCUCGCGUAGGUAAGCGGAAUAUGUCAUGUAGCGGUGAAAUGCUUAGAUAUGACAUAGAACACCAAUUGCGAAGGCAGCUUACUUCACGAGUAUUGACACUGAGGCACGAAAGCGUGGGGAGCAAACAGGAUUAGAUACCCUGGUAGUCCACGCCCUAAACGAUGGAUACUCGACAUUAGCGAUACACAGUUAGUGUCUGAGCGAAAGCAUUAAGUAUCCCACCUGGGAAGUACGACCGCAAGGUUGAAACUCAAAGGAAUUGACGG